This 468-nucleotide ribosomal RNA is filed under the name uncultured bacterium. RNAcentral's name for it is "partial 16S ribosomal RNA". It matches the Rfam family "Bacterial small subunit ribosomal RNA", at positions 28 to 507 of the family's 1533-position model. The record is from RNAcentral.
GACGAACGCUGGCGGCGUGCUUAACACAUGCAAGUCGAACGGAAAGGCCCUGCUAUUGUGGGGUGCUCGAGUGGCGAACGGGUGCGUAACACGUGAGUAACCUGCCCUUGACUUUGGGAUAACUUCAGGCAACUGGGGCUAAUACCGGAUCGGAGCUCCUGCUGCAUGGUGGGGGUUGGAAAGUUUCGGCGGUUGGGGAUGGACUCGCGGCUUAUCAGCGUGUUGGUUGGGUAGUGGCUUACCAAGGCUUUGACGGGUAGCCGGCCUGAGAGGGUGACCGGCCACAUUGGGACUGAGAUACGGCCCAGACUCCUACGGGAGGCAGCAGUGUGGAAUAUUGCACAAUGGGCGGAAGCCUGAUGCAGCAACGCCGCGUGCGGGAUGACGGCCUUCGGGUUGUAAACCGCUUUCGCCUGUGACGAAACGUGAGUGACGGUAAUGGGUAAAGAAGCACCGGCUAACUACGUG